Molecule: small nucleolar RNA, 215 nt
Organism: Astatotilapia calliptera (eastern happy)
Lineage: Eukaryota; Metazoa; Chordata; Actinopteri; Cichliformes; Cichlidae
Product: ACEA small nucleolar RNA U3
Source: Ensembl
AAGACUAUACUUUCAGGGAUCAUUUCUUUAGUUUUUGACUUGAGGAAUGUGUUUCUAGCGUGUAUGGUCUCGCUAACCACGAUGAUGAGUUGUGAUAUUCUCUUUUGAGCAUGAAGCUGAUGGAGUAGUGCUGUACUGCACACGUUCUCUGUCAUGGAUGAUUGCUUAUUGCUCUACUGUAGAGCAGUGAGAAAGGGAAUAUGUUCAGAGUGGCU